CCUGCAAUUGUCAAUGUCGUCGGCGAAGAGCCGCCAUCCUAACUCACCCUCAUGUGUGUUGCUGCUCUCCGCUAUUGGUGAAGUGUUUUUGUUGAUUUUUCAUAGUUGGUCGUCGGUGCAGUUCGCCGAUGAAAGGAGCAGCUUGCUUGCUCGUGCGUGCGGCUCGACUGUUUGCUGGAUGUUGUGUGCCUAUGAUGAAAUUUGUUAUGUGGCUGGCAAGAGGACCACAUCGAGUUGGUCGGCAACACAUAUACUUCUAGUUAAGUCGACAACGGGUUUCAGGAGCUGAUUCGAAGAUGAUGUCGAGCCACCAAACCAGCCUCCCACAUGCCCAUAGUUGACUGGGUACCUCUGUGGAGAGCACGCCAGAUGGGAAGCUCGAAGUUCGUCAGCUGGAGUGCAUUUGCUUAGUUGGAGCUGUGGUUUUCUUGCUUUGCGCAACUUAGUAGGUCCCGCCGGAGAGGUUCGUUGUGCCGUCGGUUGCAGUUAGCUGUUGCGCGUGAUGGAGUCCAUUGACCGCACAUUUCUUGUUUCAAAAGAUUUGUUUGAUGCAGUGCGGUUCAUCAUUGGGUGUUAUUUGACUUUUAGUUUUUCACACACGAUCGAAAAUAAAUUGUGCUAUGUUUUGUUUCUCCCAAAGGGCCCCCGAUUCUGUUCGAGGGUUAAUUUGCAAAUUCCUAGGGAUAGUUAUUCACUUCAUAGGCUGGUGGAGGAGUGCAAAUUUUGUAUGUGUGUGACUGUGCAAAAUAAUCACAUAGAUAUGUAUGCUUUGAAGCUCA
Long non-coding RNA from Hordeum vulgare subsp. vulgare (domesticated barley), 779 nucleotides. RefSeq lists it as uncharacterized. The transcript has 2 exons. NCBI's taxonomy places the organism in Eukaryota, Viridiplantae, Streptophyta, Magnoliopsida, Poales, Poaceae. The record is from RefSeq and is a predicted model, not a curated record.